This 21-nucleotide non-coding RNA is filed under the name Caenorhabditis elegans. Lineage: Eukaryota; Metazoa; Nematoda; Chromadorea; Rhabditida; Rhabditidae. The record is from RNAcentral.
UCCGUUGCUUAUUAUGCAUGU